GGAGCUUAGGUGUGGCCAAUGGCAGCUUCACAGGAGGCUAGGUUUGCCGGCUUGCUAUUACAUUUUUGGGGAGGAGGGCUCAAAAAGGAAAACAAUGAAGCAGAACCAGGGCGAGUUCUCCUGUGCCUAGCUUACGAGACAAAGAAGAGCAGUGGGCAUCUCAAAUCCAACUCAUUCAUUGGGGUGAUAAGCUGGUAAAAUGUACUCCUGGAGCUUCUGGGAGCCGUCUUUGCCACCACUUGGAGAAAGCCUGCCUGAGAAUGAAGCUGGCAGAGGAAGGCAGAGCUGAGACAUAGAGACGGAGGACCGACAGCUGUGUUUACGCACUGGAUCUGGCCAUUCCUGGAGGCACUUUGCCCCAGACUCUUCAAUUAAAUAGCCACUAAAUUCCCAGUUCUGCUCAAUCAGCUGGGGCCCCGCUCAGGGUGCGAGGAAUGGUAUGGUGAACAAGACAGAGAAGCCGCCAGUCCUGAAGCUCACAGUGGGGAGGCGCCGUGGACUUGGAGGAGUACUGGACACCCCCUGAGGUCCAGCACACGGGCUCCCCAGCAACGAGACGCACGUCAGAUGAUGACUACGUGACCAGAUUAAGACCAGACCCGAGACAGUUAACAGUGUGGUUUUGAUAACGCACAACAAAAAGUUUUUACUGGCGCAAUACAAAACUGAGCCUGUGGCUGGAGCAGGACUUCCCAGUCACCAGGAACCGUUGACAGACAAAAGUAAACCAACAAGACAAUUUCCGAUUUUGGUAAAGCACGAUGAAGGACACAACAGAGCACUGCCAUGAGGCCGGGAGGACUCCCACAGAUGGAGCUGGCGGGAAAGUGCUUUCCGGGGAAAGACAGGGAAGUCCUCACGUACUGGCUUUCUGCUGACGACAUGGCCGUCUGGAGCAGAGCCACAGGACAAGAGGCAGCUCCAACUCCGCCACUUCGUCCAAGAGCCUGAUGACUUCCUUCUGGAGGCUGCCACUUCUUUGCCCAAUAAAACAAUCAGAACAAAGCAGAGUUCCAGGUGGCUGCUUGUGCUCUUGGAAAAGGCUGCUGGUGCAUGGGACAGAAGGAAUCAGGAGAGGGCCACACUGCCGGGGACAAGGAAAGAGCUUCACUUCCAACGGAACCAGGGAGGGGAAAGCUGCCAGAGAGACCAAGGGAGAGACUGCUGUGUGGAACUGGGCUGGUGUGCAGGAGGGAACAGAUGAAGCCAUAGCCACAGGGCAGGGAGUCAUCUCUGCCGCCCCUCAGAGGCCGUGGACUUCUCUUGAGCAGGAGAGGAAUGGGAGAAGUUGCAGCUGGAACGCUUCGGGAGUCUGUCCAGCAUGGGAGCAUAAUCUGUCCCAUGUGUGGCCACUGGAGAAAAGUUGAGAAUCGCUCCUGUAAACAGUCUAGCUGUCUGGUUACAACUGAUAACAGAGAACUAUUUGCAGUUUUACAAAAUGUUUUCACAUACGUUAUUCCCCUAAACAACCCCACUCUAUUCACAGAGGGCUCCGAUCCACAAUGAAGCCCAGAGGGGAUAAGUGGCUCCCCACGACCCUGCAACGGAUGGAGACAGAGCCACGUGGGAAUUCAGGCUGUCUUCCCAACUGCCUGGCCGACAUCCCUGAGGACUGCCUUUGGAGGGUUCAGGAGGAAACCAGGCCAAACCGCUUGCAGAGUGGUCAGCUGGCUCCCCUUCUGCCUCUGGUCCCCCUCAUCACAAGCGAGCCUUGUAGUUUCACAUGAGCAUCAGGUGUCCAGAAUAGGACCAUGAACUUGAACAACCCCAAACAGCCACCAGACUCGCUCUUCCUCUGCGGCUCUCAAACCUCUGCGUGCACUGAAACCCACUGAAAGGUUGGUUAGCACCCAGGUUGCAGGGCCCCACCCUCAGAGCUUCUGAUGCGGUAGGUCUGGGGCAGGAGCUCAAGAACGUGCAUUUUCAGCAAGUUCCCGGGUGAUGCUGCUGCUGCUGCCCCCUGGGCCACAUUUUGAGAACUGCUGAUCUGUGACGUAAUAGGUAUCUUCCCCUCCUGGAGGGUAGAGUGGUUAUGGGACUCUAGGACCCUUACGAGAAGGAUGAGAAGUAGAAAGGGUGAGAGGGCUAGAAGCUGGUUUCCAUGAGGUGCGUGACAGAAAAUCCAGGAAAGAAAAGAAGUGGCCAGGUGAGAUUAAAAAGGCAGUAGGCACAGUGAGCUGUGAAUGAGAGGAUGCAAGGCUGUGGUCCAGGCUAGUGUCUCACCCCAGUUAUCAAACAGCAGCAUCGCGACUUUACCGUGUCACAUGCCACCUGCACUAUGAUUUACUUACAGAUUUUUAAAAAAUUGACUUACUUUUCUCACAUAUAACAGCCUUACCCUAAACAAAAAUGAAAUAAUAACAGUAACAGCCAGUACUUAUAAGUUCUUGCUAUGUGCCAGGCACACACAUACAUACAUUCAUUUACACACAUAUGUACACACAUGUGCAUGUGCUCACACAUACAUAGCUGUUUCGAUCCUCACAGUGACCCUGUGAAUGAGGACAUUGAGGCCUGGAGGAGACAGGUGACCCCUCCCAAGCUUCCCAGCUAACAAGCGGCAGAGGCAGGAUUCCAACCCACAGAGCUGGCUCCAGAGUCCAUGCUCUGAACCCCUGAAAUUAGGGGGUAAGGGGGUCACCAUGGGUUAGGUAACUUGCCAAAGAGCACGUAGCUAGCAAUGGGAUGGAACCAAGAUUUGAAGACAACCAGGAUGACUCUAAAACCGGAGUGUUAAACUCCUGCGUCCAUUCCCAUGUGGGUUACGGGCAGUGAGGGAC
Long non-coding RNA from Equus asinus (donkey), 2780 nucleotides. Lineage: Eukaryota; Metazoa; Chordata; Mammalia; Perissodactyla; Equidae. The record is from Ensembl.